GACGAACGCUGGCGGCGUGCUUAACACAUGCAAGUCGAACGGAAAGGCUCCAGCUUGCUGGAGUACUCGAGUGGCGAACGGGUGAGUAACACGUGGGUGACCUGCCCUGCACUUCGGGAUAAGCCUGGGAAACUGGGUCUAAUACCGGAUAGGACCGCACUUUGGUGUGUGUGGUGGAAAGGUUUUUCUGGUGUGGGAUGAGCUCGCGGCCUAUCAGUUUGUUGGUGGGGUAAUGGCCUACCAAGACGGCGACGGGUAGCCGGCCUGGGAGGGUGGACGGUCACAUUGGGACUGGGAUACGGCCCAGACUCCUACGGGAGGCAGCAGGGGGGAAUAUUGCACAAUGGGGGAAACCCUGAUGCAGCGACGCCGCGUGGGGGAUGAAGGCCUUCGGGUUGUAAACUCCUUUCGCUAGGGACGAAGCUUUUUGUGACGGUACCUGGAGAAGAAGCACCGGCUAACUACGUG
This 468-nucleotide ribosomal RNA is filed under the name uncultured bacterium. RNAcentral's name for it is "partial 16S ribosomal RNA". It matches the Rfam family "Bacterial small subunit ribosomal RNA", at positions 28 to 507 of the family's 1533-position model. The record is from RNAcentral.